Molecule: transfer RNA, 73 nt
Filed under: Hericium erinaceus (lion's mane mushroom)
Lineage: Eukaryota; Fungi; Basidiomycota; Agaricomycetes; Russulales; Hericiaceae
Also listed under: 2 other names
Description: tRNA-Pro
Source: RNAcentral
AUGGUAGAAGACAAAUUGGUCCGUCGCUCCUUUUGGGUAGGAGAGAUAGCGUGUUCGAAUCGCGCCUACCAUA